RNAcentral lists this ribosomal RNA (420 nucleotides) under uncultured archaeon. RNAcentral's name for it is "partial 16S ribosomal RNA". It matches the Rfam family "Archaeal small subunit ribosomal RNA", at positions 323 to 746 of the family's 1478-position model. The record is from RNAcentral.
CUACGGGCUGCUCCAGCUGAGGAAAUUUUACAAUGCUCGCAAGAGUGAUAAAAUAAGCCAGAGUGUUUCUUUCAAAGAAACUUUUGUCUGUUGUAAAAAGACAGACGAAUAAGGACUGGGCAAGACCGGUGCCAGCCGCCGCGGUAAUACCGGCGGUCCGAGUCGCAUCCACAUUUAUUGGGUCCAAGACAUCCGUAGCUUGUUUUGUAAGUUUCUUGUGAAAUCUGAUAUCUCAAGUAUCAGGCGCGCAAGAAAUACUGCAUUGCUAGAGACCGGAAGACGUAAGGAGUACGGUUGAGGUAGUAGUAAAAUACGUUAAGCUCAACUGGACUAACAAUGGCGAAGGCACCUUACGAGUACGGAUCUGACAGUGAGGGAUGAAGGCUAGGGGCGCAAAAGGGAUUAGAUACCCUCGUAGUC